This 167-nucleotide ribosomal RNA is filed under the name uncultured Rhodospirillaceae bacterium. Its description in RNAcentral is "partial 16S ribosomal RNA". It matches the Rfam family "Bacterial small subunit ribosomal RNA", at positions 340 to 524 of the family's 1533-position model. Lineage: Bacteria; Pseudomonadati; Pseudomonadota; Alphaproteobacteria; Rhodospirillales; Rhodospirillaceae. The record is from RNAcentral.
UACGGGAGGCAGCAGUGAGGAAUAUUGGACAAUGGGCGGAAGCCUGAUCCAGCCAUGCCGCGUGAGUGAAAAAGGCCUUAGGGUUGUAAAGCUCUUUCACCCGUGAAGAUGAUGACGGUAGCGGGAGAAGAAGCCCCGGCUAAUUCCGUGCCAGCGACCGCGGUAAU